This 253-nucleotide ribosomal RNA is filed under the name uncultured bacterium. Its description in RNAcentral is "partial 16S ribosomal RNA". It matches the Rfam family "Bacterial small subunit ribosomal RNA", at positions 524 to 776 of the family's 1533-position model. The record is from RNAcentral.
UACAGAGGUCCCAAGCGUUGUUCGGAUCCACUGGGCGUAAAGGGUGCGUAGGCGGUCGAGUAAGUCUAACGUGAAAUCUCCGAGCCUAACUCGGAAACUGCGUCGGAUACUAUUCGGCUAGAGGAAUGGAGGGGAGAUUGGAAUUCUCGGUGUAGCAGUGAAAUGCGUAGAUAUCGAGAGGAACACCAGUGGCGAGGGCGAGUCUCUGGACAUUUCCUAACGCUGAGGCACGAAAGCCAGGGGAGCAAACGGG